AUUUACAGGAAAGGAAUUUCCAGGCGGAUUUAUAAUUCCCGGACACGUACGGACGCAUCUGGUGCUUCAGUAUAUUCAAAAUAUAGAGGGGGGACUCGGGGCUGUGUUGAAGUAUUCCAAAAUGCAAAAACUUUUCGCGGUUAAUCCAAGAGUUGUUUCGUAUUAAAAUAGUUUUUCCUUUUAACACUUUAAUGCGGAACCAAAUAAAAUUCACGCUCUUCUUUUC
This is a long non-coding RNA of Drosophila pseudoobscura, 226 nucleotides long. RefSeq lists it as uncharacterized. NCBI's taxonomy places the organism in Eukaryota, Metazoa, Arthropoda, Insecta, Diptera, Drosophilidae. The transcript has 2 exons. The record is from RefSeq and is a predicted model, not a curated record.